UACGAAGGGGGCGAGCGUUGUUCGGAAUUACUGAGCGUAAAGGGCGCGUAGGCGGCCGAUCAAGUCAGAUGUGAAAGUCCUGGGCUUAACCUGGGGACUGCAUUUGAUACUGAUUGGCUUGAAUUCGGGAGAGGAUAGCGGAAUUCCCAGUGUAGAGGUGAAAUUCGUAGAUAUUGGGAAGAACACCGGUGGCGAAGGCGGCUAUCUGGACCGACAUUGACGCUGAGGCGCGAAAGCGUGGGGAGCAAACAGG
RNAcentral lists this ribosomal RNA (253 nucleotides) under uncultured bacterium. RNAcentral's name for it is "partial 16S ribosomal RNA". It matches the Rfam family "Bacterial small subunit ribosomal RNA", at positions 524 to 776 of the family's 1533-position model. The record is from RNAcentral.